AAGAGGUUAGUUAAAUUUAACUUUAGCAUGUCAUGCUAAAAUUGCUGGUAGAAUCCAGCACCCCUUA
RNAcentral lists this transfer RNA (67 nucleotides) under Neoperlops gressitti. RNAcentral describes it as "tRNA-Asp". The record is from RNAcentral. Lineage: Eukaryota; Metazoa; Arthropoda; Insecta; Plecoptera; Perlidae.